Molecule: ribosomal RNA, 843 nt
Filed under: Bryoria implexa
Lineage: Eukaryota; Fungi; Ascomycota; Lecanoromycetes; Lecanorales; Parmeliaceae
Description: SSU rRNA
Rfam family: Bacterial small subunit ribosomal RNA
Source: RNAcentral
AAAGCCUNACUAGCUAUAUGCACGUAGUCGUAACUGAAAGGUUGAUCGACCACAGUGGGCCUGAAUAAAGCCCAUGACGAUUGUCACAGCAGUGAGGAAUAUUGGUCAAUAGCCUAACGGCUGAACCAGCAACUUGGAGGAAUGUAUAGCAAUAGCUACUUGCAUCUUCGUAUACAUGAUGCAAGAUCGACUCUGUCGAAUAAAAUUCUAGGUAGAAUUAUGAUAAUGACAUUGUCUGCCUAUGUGUCUUGACCAAAUUACGUGCCAGCAGUCGCGGUAAUACGUAGAAGACUAGUGUUAUUCAUGUUUAAUCGGUUUAAAGGGUACCUAGACGGUAAAUCAAGCCUACAAAUAAAAGAAAUGAAGGGACUAAUUUGCUAGAGUUACUUAUGAGGGGGUAUUAAAGUACUGCUGGUGUAGAGAUGAAAUUCUGUCAUACCUCUUUUCAAUAGAAAAAUAAUGGCACAGGUAUAGGCGAAAGCAUCCCCUUAUGUGAUAACUGACGUUGAGGGACGAAGGCUUUGUGUAGCGAACAGGAUUAGAUACCCCAGUAGUCAAAGCAGAAAAUGAUGAAUGUCAUAGAUUAGAUAUAUAAGUUUAUUCUAUAAAUGAAAGUGUAAGCAUUCCACCUCAAGAGUAAUUUGGCAACAUUGGAACUGAAAUCAUUAGACCGUUUCUGAAACCAGUAGUGAAGUAUGUUGUUUAAUUUGAUGAUCCGCAAAAAACCUUACCACAAUUUGNAUAUUUAUAUCUUUUAUUGUUUUUUUUUAUUUUUCUUCUUAUGACUUUUAUCCAUGAUUUUCUACUCAGUGAAGAAAAGGGAAGAAUNCAAGAAAUAAGAAG